CACAGGUUUUGGUGUAAAAAAAUCAUAUAAGAAUAUGAAAAAUGGACGAGAAGUUAAUUGAACUUGUAAGAAAUCAUGAAGUGCUAUACAAUCACUCAUCAGCCGAGUGCAGGGACCAGACGAUUCGGCAAGAAGGUUGGGAGGAAAUUGGUAGACACUUACAAAUAACAGCAAACAACGUCAAGACAAAAUGGGACAAACUUAGACGAUGUUUCUGUAAUGCAAGAAAUAGACGCCUGUCUACACAAAGUGGCCGUGCUACCAAAAAAAAUUACGCCAUGGAAAUUUGAACAGCAGAUGACAUUUUUGCUGCCGUAUUUAGAAGGUCGAAGGACGCGCGGCAAUUUGCAGAAGUCUCAAAAUGAACAUAAAAUUUGCGUUCCCGACGAAAGAGAAAUUAACGACGAUGACGUUGACGCAGACGAAUAGCAAAUACAAGAAAACAGUACAGACGCUGAGGAUAUAGCUGAUGAAGGGGACCAAAAACAUAUUGCAGUUAUACAACAACAAACACCUUCGCAAGACGAUAUAUUGCUCGCCGAAAAUACUAAAACAUUAGAGCACAUGAAGAGAAACAAAACGUGUUCACAAAAAAAAAAUACUGCAGCCGAGAAAAUAACGGCAAUAAUGGAACAAAAUGCUGCAAAAAGUUUGGCGAGAAUGACGAAACAAUUACCAAAAGCCGAACAAGCUGUAGUUAAAAUAACAGUGAGCACUGCAAUCCUUCAAGCUGAAUUGAGAAGCGCACAAGCACAAAGUGCUCCAAUACCUGCACCAUCUUCGUCAUAUGCUUUGCAACCAUUGUUUUGACCUCACGACAAUUCUAGACAGUCUACGUCAUCAUCGUCAUAUUCUGUGCAACCCUUGCCGUCACCUCAUGAAUAUUCUAUCAUCAGAAUCCUCUAACAUGCAAUAGGCUCUCUCUCCGCAGGAGUAUGAUAAAGCUGGACAUGGGCAAUUUACAAAUGUUUCACAAACAAGCAACUACCCUACAGCAGAGACAACUCGCGAGGAAUGGAGACCGACGUUACUAGAUAUAAACUCUGUGUCUCUGGUCGACUUAGCUAAAUAAUAUCAUGAAACUUUUCUAUUGUUAUUUAACGUGUGUAGCCAAACAUUUUUGCAAAAUAAAAUAUUUAUUUUAAUUAUUGGUAAGUGCUUACCUUAAACACACCGCCAAUCUUUCUUCGGUACUAAUCGCUCUUCUAAGCUGAGUAUUUUGCUUUUUAAUAAGUCCAUGCAAAUAA
Long non-coding RNA from Anthonomus grandis grandis, 1247 nucleotides. RefSeq lists it as uncharacterized. The transcript is spliced from 3 exons. The record is from RefSeq and is a predicted model, not a curated record. Lineage: Eukaryota; Metazoa; Arthropoda; Insecta; Coleoptera; Curculionidae.